Molecule: long non-coding RNA, 199 nt
Filed under: Prunus persica (peach)
Lineage: Eukaryota; Viridiplantae; Streptophyta; Magnoliopsida; Rosales; Rosaceae
Description: long non-coding RNA (PPER_LNC004776)
Source: RNAcentral
GGGACGUCUGUUUCCAACUCGACGUUUUAGCAGGAGAAGAAGGCCUCGUUCUAAUACAACACUUACACUUACAAUUGCUUUUGAUGCAGCCGUUAGAUUAGAUCCAAUAGUGUUCUCACGUAACGUUUGCACAUAAGCGUUCUCACCUGAUCCAAACCGUUCUUGAUCACGCUUUCUCAAGGCAACAACUCACAUGGCC